UACGUAGGGUGCAAGCGUUAAUCGGAAUUACUGGGCGUAAAGCGUGCGCAGGCGGUUCGUUGUGUCUGAUGUGAAAGCCCCGGGCUCAACUUGGGAACGGCAUUGGAAACUGGCGAGCUAGAGUGUGGCAGAGGGGGGUGGAAUUCCGCGUGUAGCAGUGAAAAUGCGUAGAGAUGCGGAGGAACACCGAUGGCCGGAAGGCAGCCCCCUGGGCUGACACUGACGCUCAGGCACGAAAGCGUGGGGAGCAAACAGG
RNAcentral lists this ribosomal RNA (256 nucleotides) under uncultured bacterium. RNAcentral describes it as "partial 16S ribosomal RNA". It matches the Rfam family "Bacterial small subunit ribosomal RNA", at positions 524 to 776 of the family's 1533-position model. The record is from RNAcentral.